Molecule: antisense RNA, 69 nt
Filed under: Cryptosporangium arvum DSM 44712
Lineage: Bacteria; Bacillati; Actinomycetota; Actinomycetes; Cryptosporangiales; Cryptosporangiaceae
Description: ASpks TB sRNA
Rfam family: ASpks TB sRNA
Source: Rfam by way of RNAcentral
CUUGAUCGACCCGAUCAGCAGGGGAUACUCGCGCUCCUGGCCAUACGUGGAGAGCAGCGCCUGCGCCUC